Anguilla rostrata (American eel) is the source of this 1814-nucleotide long non-coding RNA. RefSeq lists it as uncharacterized. The transcript is spliced from 3 exons. NCBI's taxonomy places the organism in Eukaryota, Metazoa, Chordata, Actinopteri, Anguilliformes, Anguillidae. The record is from RefSeq and is a predicted model, not a curated record.
CAGUCAGCCGGAAAGAAAUCUCCACCCAGGGGCUGGACUGCUUGAUCGCGGUCUUCUCGCUGACAGACGCUGUAGUGGGUGUACACACUCCGCCUGGCUGUUGAGGGCUUCGCCAGUUCUACCGCAAAAUAAUGUGCAGCUCGUACCUGCAGAAGAAAAUUGGGGUAAAACCUACUGGCUCAACUGGACUAAACUGUCACUUGUCUGUGAGAUCCCACACUAUCACUGAGAGGGCAUGAAAUCAUGAAAUCCACCAGAGAACUGCACCUCUGACCUGAGUUAUCUUAAUAACAUUGUAUGCACAGUACACACUGACAGCUUUUGCAUUUUAAUCCAUAGAGCCUUGGUCAAUAAGAUGACAGAAAUGCUUUGUAGUUUUCUCAAAUUUCUUCUUUGACUUGGUCCCCUGGAACGUGGCUGGCUGUGGGAAUCGAAGGCACAGCUAGACAUUUUUGAGGACGUGUGCUGCUCUGGAUUAUAUCUGGUCCUGAGAACAUGGCCUGGACUGCCAUUGCUCAUGAGAAGAAGAAACAUUAAAAACAAACACUCUUAUCACAGUAUCUUGCUAAUCAUUGGAGUAUUCAUGUGAAUGAGGCUCAGUGAGAAAUUAGAUGCGCUGCCUGUUUUAGUAAAGUUCUGCUUCUCUGUUUUCAACACCCAGCAAGGAGGAACCUUCAGGUAUCAUCACCAGUUUGUCUUCUCUUAUGUUCUCGCAUGUACAGUAUAUGAGUCCUCCACCAACAAGAGGUUGAUAGCCUUUUUGUCAAGCAGUUAUCCUAAAUGCACCAUCCCAAACAUCUAUGUUGAUAAAAUAAAUUCCACUAAAUGAGCACAGAUGAUAAUUGUGCUAAUUAUUUGUAAUCUCCCAGUUCUGAUCUACACUUUUUGUUGAAGGCUGGUACUGAGUCUAGUGGAAGGAUUGUCAUGGCAGGUCCGUAGUGGACACUUGCAUUGAAUAAAACAUCCUGACAGCCUUAAGACAUUUGUGAGAUGGUUGUCUGAAACAUGUUUUAUUUUUGAGUUGAUCAGGGUUGUAAUACCAUUGAGAAUUCUCUGCAAUGUCAUUGGACAAAUUUUGACAAAUUGGUGGUUUGUUGUUUUGUCUGUACUGUGUGUGCCUGCAGAGCCAUUUUACAAUAUUUCUUUGUAAGCCAUUAUAUUUUAUUGUAGGUUCUGUGGUUUCUGACAUCACAACUUUCAAGCCACCAGAUCAUGUCAUCUAGACUCUUGCUAUUUCCAGUGAUUAAUGAGUCUGCCUUCAAACCCUUUCUUCUCAAUAAUGCCUUGAGCUCUGUCGGCACAAUGGUGUUUGGUAUGAUAUCUAUCUCCAUUACCACAAGUCUUGGAUAAAAAUGGAUGCAUUUUGAAUAGUACUCUUCACAGGAUACCAUCUGUUUUUAACAUGGUUCUAGGGUGCAUUUUAUUGACAGAGAAGAACCAUGCUCCAUAACCACGCUCCUAAUAUGCUCCAUGUACUGCAUUUUCUGGCUUGACAAUGUUUAAAAUUUUUAUUGAUAGCUGGCCACCAGUUUGUCAAGUUUAGGGAAAUGACAUGCCCAAAAAGUAGUUCAAGUAUGAGCUCUACAAGUGAAAUGUACUGAAUUCGUGAGCAAGCUUUCAAUUAUGUCUUUUUACGGUGUUUCUAACAUAUACCUUGCAUUGUAAGAUACCAAUUCAGUAACAUUGUUAAAAUCAACCUGCAUCUAAGGAAUAAUUCAUGGCAGUAAGGUACAGCAAAGUAAAGUAAAAGAAAAACAUUUAUAUCAGUUGUAAUGGAGUUUCCGUGAGGAACAAAUAAAAUAUGCAAAGCAUAA